CGUUCCCGGGCCUUGUACACACCGCCCGUCACACCACGAGAGUUUGUAACACCCGAAGUCGGUGGGGUAACCCUUACGGGAGCCAGCCGCCGAAGGUGGGACAGAUGAUUGGGGUG
RNAcentral lists this ribosomal RNA (116 nucleotides) under uncultured bacterium. RNAcentral's name for it is "partial 16S ribosomal RNA". It matches the Rfam family "Bacterial small subunit ribosomal RNA", at positions 1369 to 1482 of the family's 1533-position model. The record is from RNAcentral.